GAGUUUGAUCUUGGCUCAGAAUCAACGCUGGCGGCGUGCCUAACACAUGCAAGUCGAACGCGAAAGGGGCUUCGGCCCUGAGUAGAGUGGCGAACGGGUGAGUAACACGUGGGUGAUCUACCUUCGAGUGGGGGAUAACGUCCCGAAAGGGACGCUAAUACCGCAUGACGUUCCGGGUUUGAAGACCUGGAAACCAAGGCCGGGGACCGCAAGGCCUGGCGCUUGAAGAGGAGCCCGCGUCCGAUUAGCUAGUUGGCGGGGUAAUGGCCCACCAAGGCGACGAUCGGUAGCCGGCCUGAGAGGGCGGACGGCCACACUGGAACUGAGACACGGUCCAGACUCCUACGGGAGGCAGCAGUGGGGAAUUGUUCACAAUGGGCGCAAGCCUGAUGACGCAACGCCGCGUGGGGGAUGAAGGUCUUCGGAUUGUAAACCCCUGUCGAAUGGGACGAAUGGCCUCUGGGCUAAUCACCAGAGGAGUGACGGUACCGUUAAAGGAAGCCACGGCUAACUCUGUGCCAGCAGCCGCAGUAAC
Molecule: ribosomal RNA, 535 nt
Filed under: uncultured Acidobacteriota bacterium
Lineage: Bacteria; Pseudomonadati; Acidobacteriota
Description: bacterial SSU rRNA
Rfam family: Bacterial small subunit ribosomal RNA
Source: RNAcentral